This 623-nucleotide ribosomal RNA is filed under the name uncultured archaeon. RNAcentral describes it as "bacterial SSU rRNA". It matches the Rfam family "Archaeal small subunit ribosomal RNA", at positions 146 to 774 of the family's 1478-position model. The record is from RNAcentral.
AUAAUACUCCAUAGAUUAGAGACACUGGAAUGUUCUUUAGUCGAAAGUUCUGGCGCCUUAGGAUGGAUCUGCGGUCGAUUAGGUUGUUGUUGGGGUAACGGCCCAACAAGCCUGUAAUCGAUACGGGUUGUGGGAGCAAGAGCCCGGAGAUGGAAUCUGAGACACGAUUCCAGGCCCUACGGGGCGCAGUAGGCGCGAAAACUUUACAAUGCAGGAAACUGUGAUAAGGGAACUCCGAGUGCCCGUAUACGCGGGCUGUUCAGGUGUUUAAAAAUCAUCCGAAGAAAGGGCCGGGCAAGACCGGUGCCAGCCGCCGCGGUAAUACCGGCGGCUCGAGUGGUGGCCACUAUUAUUGGGCUUAAAGCGUCCGUAGCUGGACCGAUAAGUCUCUUGGGAAAUCCGCCGGCUCAACCGGCGGGCGUCUAAGGGAUACUGUUAGUCUAGGGACCGGGAGAGGUGAGAGGUACUCCGGGGGUAGGAGUGAAAUCCUGUAAUCCCCGGGGGACCACCGAUGGCGAAGGCAUCUCACCAGAACGGCUCCGACAGUGAGGGACGAAAGCUGGGGGAGCGAACCGGAUUAGAUACCCGGGUAGUCCCAGCCGUAAACUAUGCGCGUUAGGUGU